Long non-coding RNA from Oncorhynchus tshawytscha (Chinook salmon), 913 nucleotides. The record is from Ensembl. Lineage: Eukaryota; Metazoa; Chordata; Actinopteri; Salmoniformes; Salmonidae.
GGGGGGUUCAAUCUUGGUUUCAUCAGACAUGAGAAUCUUGUUUCCCAUGGUCUGAGUCCUUUAGGUUCCUUUUGGCAAACUCCAAUUGGGCUGUCAUGUUGGGCCACCCUACCAUAAAGGUCCUUCUGGAAAGUGCUCCCAUCUCCACAGAGGAACUCUGGAGCUCUGUCAGAGUGACCAUCGGGUUCUUGGUCACCUCCCUGACGAAGGCCCUUCUUGGUCAGGGGAGAGAUGGUAAUGAGACAGGGUAGAGAUGGAAGGAAGACAGGGGAGAGAUGGUAAUGAGACAGGGUAGAGAUGGAAGGGAGACAGGGGAGAGAUGGAAGGGAGACAGGGGAGAGAUGGUAGGGAGACAGGGGAGAGAUGGAAGGGAGACAGGGGAGAGAUGGUAAUGAGACAGGGGAGAGAUGGAAGGGAGACAGGGGAGAGAUGGUAAUGAGACAGGGGAGAGAUGGUAAUGAGACAGGGGAGAGAUGGAAGGGUAGAGAUGGAAGGGUAGAGAUGGAAGGGUAGAGAUGGAAGGGUAGAGAUGGAAGGGAGACAGGGGAGAGAUGGUAGGGAGACAGGGUAGAGAUGGAAGGGAGACAGGGGAGAGAUGGUAGUGAGACAGGGGAGAUAUGGAAGGGAGACAGGGGAGAGAUGGGAGGGAGACAGGGGAGAGAUGGAAGGGAGACAGGGGAGAGAUGGAAGGGAGACAAGGUAGAGAUGGUAGGGAGACAGGGGAGAGAUGGAAGGGAGACAGGGGAGAGAUGGAAGGAGACAUGGGAGAUAUGGAAGGGAGACAGGGUAGAGAUGGAAGGGAGACAGGGGAGAGAUGGAAGGGGAGAGAUGGAAGGGAGACAGGGGAGAGAUGGAAGGGAGACAGGUGAGAGAUGGAAGGGAGACAGGGGAGAGAUGGAAGGGGAGACAGGGG